Long non-coding RNA from Girardinichthys multiradiatus, 535 nucleotides. RefSeq lists it as uncharacterized. The transcript has 3 exons. Lineage: Eukaryota; Metazoa; Chordata; Actinopteri; Cyprinodontiformes; Goodeidae. The record is from RefSeq and is a predicted model, not a curated record.
GGACUUCCCAGCUCCGACGGGUCCAUACAGGAGGACUCGAAGGUACCGGAUGUCAUUGUUUUCAGGCUUGUAUUCCUGCACAUACUGAAGAUUCAUCUGUUUUUCUCUGAGAACGUAAAGUACAUCAGUUGGUUGUUUUACCUGUACCUUUGGAUAACUCUUGUUGAUGCCUGAUUUCGCUCUCAGCAUUGUCUUGCGGUUUUGGAUUUUCGACUUCUGGAAAAAGGUCUCCUAUUUUGUGGGUUAAGAUCCAAGAUUCCUGUUUACUUUGUCUGGACAACAACCAGCUGGCAGCUUCCUGUUUCACCGUCAUCUGAACCUUGGCAUAAGCGUAACCUGUUCACCCUCCAACGCAAGUACCUCCAUUCUGAACUCCUCAUUAUCCCUCACAGAUCUCUCAAACCUUACCAGAGAAACGUCUGUGCCGAACACUCAGACUCCAAAUUCCUCAACCCCCCCUGGCGGUUAGAUUACUCCAACAUACCUUCCAAUCAGCAUCCUGUCCAUCUGAUUCUCCAUCCAAUCACCUUCCGAC